UGGCUACAUCACAUUGAAACACCAGCUCCCAUAUGAUCACUGAAGUGAAGCAAUGUUGAGCCAGGUCAAUAACUUGAUGGGUGACUAAUUGGAAAUAUCAGGUGCUGUAAG
Molecule: non-coding RNA, 111 nt
Organism: Acanthosepion pharaonis
Lineage: Eukaryota; Metazoa; Mollusca; Cephalopoda; Sepiida; Sepiidae
Source: the annotation of a GenBank genome assembly